Molecule: ribosomal RNA, 109 nt
Filed under: Colobus angolensis palliatus
Lineage: Eukaryota; Metazoa; Chordata; Mammalia; Primates; Cercopithecidae
Source: RNAcentral
GUCUAUGGCCAUACCACCCUGGAUGUAGCUGAUCUUGUCUGACCUCGGAAGCUAAGCAAGUUUGGGCCUGCUUAGUACUUGGAUGGGAGAAAAUAUAAUGUUGUAUGAU